AUCAGGAAGUGGAAGGUGAACAGUGAGUCCCAAGUUGAAGCUCUGGGCAACAAAGAGGACAGGGCAGGAGGUGCUGGGACCAAGGAGCCAAAGGAACCACGAGAGAAAGCUUCUUCCAAGAAGAGCUUUAUCUGCAAAGCUUGUGAUAAAAGCUUCCACUUCUACUGCCGCUUAAAGGUGCACGUGAAACGUUGUCAGGUGGCCAGAGGAAAGCAAAUCCCGUGUAAGGAGUGCACUGAAGUGAAAUCCACAAAGAAGGAGCUGGAGAAACAUCAGCUGGAGAUCCAUGGAGCAGUGGGGAUAGCCAAGAAAAAGACUAGGCGGCUCCCUGUGUCAUGUGACAUCUGUGGCCGAGAGUUUGCUCAUGCCUCAGGUGAUUCAGACAUCAGAGGAAGGAGCAGCAGAACACAUCAUCUCUUUUGAUGAAGCCCAUGUCACUGUCUCCCAAGUCUUUGUGACAUUGCCUGAAUCCCAGGUUAGCCAAGCUGGCUCAGAGCUGGUGACAGUGACUAUGGAGGACUUGUUUGAUGACAAAGCCACUCUGAUUUGUGAAGAAACCAAAGGAGAGUGAGCAGUGGGUGCCCACGUGUGGCACCUGGUAUCCACUGGACUAGUUCAGGAGACAUACCUAGUCAUGGUGCUCUAGCUGGGACAUUCUUGGUUUCUGUGGAAAAGCAAGUCUGGAUGGCAUGUAGCAAGCACAGCAUGGCCACAGGAAAGGUUUGUAGACUUUCAUAAGGACCUGGGAAGUCUCACUGUCCCUGCAGUCAGCAGCUGCCAGCUUGGGUGAAUGGGACCAGCCAUCAGUCCCAGCUCAUGACAAAUAAAGCAGCAGGAAGGAAGAUGGGAAAUGGGUUUUCUUCAUGUAUGGUCCUCCACUGCCCUGAGCAGGGUGGAAAGGAGGAGACUAGUGCAGCCUAAAUAAAGUUGAGGUAGGGUGGGCUUGUGAAACCAAAUAAAAAGAUGUCCUGAGAAUCUAGAGUAGAAGAAAGGGAGUUUUUUUAUGUCUGGGUCAGCGAUAUUCUCACAGAUGCCAGUUACUCUGCAGGGUGAGGAAGGGCUGCUUGUUUUGUCUGUUUCUCUUCCCUUUAUCGUCUUGCUGCCACUGAGUCAGCUGGAAAAGUCCCCUAGUGCAGAGAUGCUGUUUGGGCUUUUCUACUUGAGUGGAGUCGUCUUUGGGAAUUGGGUUAAAUGGCUCUGCAGCCAUUUAGGUAGUACCUUGUGCAGUGCAGGUCUAAUCUCAUCCACACUUCAGAGGUGACUGUGUAUUACAAAGAAGGGUCAGAGCACGGGCUGGGCAACCACAUCCUCAUUCUGAGCAGACAACAGCCCUGAGACCUUCCACCCUUUCUCUAAUUCAGGGAGGAGGUGAUGAAGAUGCUACAUCCAAGGAAGAAGAAGGUGCUGUGCCUGUAAGCUAGGGCCCCUUGUUGCUUGGGUGUUUAAUACAGUUACCAAGGGACUGUUGCUAAUGAGGUAUUUCUGUCUGAGUGACUGCAGAUAGCUGUUCUCGUGGCACACAGGACAUUGCUUUGUAAAAUGCAUUUGGAUACCUGAAGUAAAGCUUGCCUCUUUGGUGCCAGGAUGAUGUAACGAAUUUGUUGCAGCACACUGGUCCCUUUAAGAAUAAAUUUCAUAAAGCCUUUUCA
Molecule: non-coding RNA, 1649 nt
Organism: Anas platyrhynchos (mallard)
Lineage: Eukaryota; Metazoa; Chordata; Aves; Anseriformes; Anatidae
Source: RefSeq, a predicted model, not a curated record